GCUACCCCUCUCUGAUUCAGCAAGCACCUGAAGCGUGAGAGUCUUGACGUGGCUGACCUGGCAUCUUCUGCAAGCUUCUCAAUUGGAGUCCACAAUCUCUCUUCAAGCCAAUGCAGUUUAAGUGGAUUGCUACUUGAAUGCAAGAAGAGCCUGUUUGGCAUAAGGGAGAGGAUAUCACAUUUUGUCUAACCUAUGAGAAGACCCCGGUAAGGAAAUCUGGGUGCAUCAGUAAUCAUCCACGGAGCCGAGUUGAGUUCAAUAAGCCUUGAUGUGAAAUCAAAGUAACACAGUUGGCUAAAUGUCUGCAGACAUGAGUAAUUUGCUGUGAGGUCACCUCAUAGAAGAUCUAGUGUUGAGAGGAUCACAGUAGGUUACCUGCAAGGCAUGAAGUGCUCCGAAAACUGUUUGAGCCUACAAAAUUUUGCAAGGACACUGGCAAACAAUGAUGACUACGGAGAGAAGAGUUUCAGUAACUACGAGUAGCUGAUCAGGUUGUACGACUCAUCUACCCCAAAGUUGAGCUGCAGAAGAUGAAGAGCAUCAACAGAAUCAGACCUUGCAAUUUGUAAAAGAACUCAACAGUUCAUCAUAUCGAACGGGCAGGUUACCUCAUCUUCUGUUGAAUGAACAGCUA
This is a non-coding RNA of Lolium perenne, 634 nucleotides long. NCBI's taxonomy places the organism in Eukaryota, Viridiplantae, Streptophyta, Magnoliopsida, Poales, Poaceae. The record is from RefSeq and is a predicted model, not a curated record.